GGCUGGGCUGGAGGCGGCCGUCUGGAGCGUGCUCACUGUCUGCCGCAAGUUUCGCCCGGAGUGGGAAAGUUGGGCGCGGCCCGGCAGGACCCUGUCAGGCACAACUUCAAGACAUUCAAGAGUACUUUGGAGUGAACUGGCAGUGAGCCUUGCACUACAAUGGUGGCAAUAACACUGGCUGUCCUCUGGAGAUGCUGAAGCUCAGCUUUAUUUUGAACUUCUUUCUUAGACGUUCCAACUUUUUCACAAAGGAUUUAACACUGAUUUGGAUUCAUAUGGUAUACAAUAGUCAUGGAUAUGGAUUUUUUCUUCUCAUCACUUGACAUCUGCAUGUUUCCAGCAGUCAGUGAAGGAGUCAGUGUGAGAUCUGCUGACAUUUGGUCUGUUUUCCAGAGCUCUGAGUGACAGGUAUUGUAAACAUCCUACACUCUCAGCUGUGGAAACUAAGAAAGCUGGGAGAAGGCUGUUUACUCUUCCUGCCUUGGAAAUCGUCCAGAGGGCAAUGAUGGAAUAUUGUGAGCUCUGUUUUGAUUGUAUUUCUGACAACCUGUAUUUCAUACUUUACAUUAUAGUGUCAGUAAACGAAUUACGGCAUUAUGUCGUGUCA
Long non-coding RNA from Empidonax traillii (willow flycatcher), 607 nucleotides. RefSeq lists it as uncharacterized. Lineage: Eukaryota; Metazoa; Chordata; Aves; Passeriformes; Tyrannidae. The transcript is spliced from 2 exons. The record is from RefSeq and is a predicted model, not a curated record.